CCGCCAGGGCAGCCACCGCAGCGAAGGAGCCGGGCCUUCCGCAGCUACCUCAGCGCCCGCCGCGCCGCUCGGCUCACGUAAGUGCGGCGACACAGGCGGGAGGGCGGCGGUUGGUUGGCCGCUCUCUGACUUUCCUACCCGGCCCUUUCCCUAUCGUGACGUGCACGGCGACACCGGGAUCCUGCGGGUGACGGAAACCUGCUCCGUUACCCCGAGACCCGCCCCGACCCCUCCUGACCUCGCGCAUCACCGAGCCUGCACCUGUGGGAAGAGCACUUCCCGUCGCUUCCGUCCUCAUCGGUUUGAUCACUGGCACUUGGGCUGUGCUAGAGACUGCUGUGGGUUCUAAAUACUUCACCUCAAGACCGUCGCGACCGUCCUGGGAGGCUCCAACUUUGCUUAUUUAAGCGGAGGAAACUUGGAGGCACAGAGAGAUUAAGUAAUUUUAAGGCCGCACAGCUAAUUAAAAGGAAGCGGUGUUUACUAGCUCCAGAGGGAUUUCACGUGCAAUUCCUUCAUUUUGCUUCUACUUUCAUGAGGCUUCCAAGUACCUAAGAACAACAGGCUACUUCAUCCUGCUGCUCUGUCCUCACUGCUAAAUUCCAAGCUAUUCUUGUCAGUCUGUCCUCCUGGGGAUUCGUGUUUUCUCUGGAACUUUCACUAGUGUUACUACUGCCCUAGAGUUGUGAAUAUAAGUCAGUGACCAUACGGGAAACUCUGAAGCCUUGCUGCUCCUCAUGGUUUCCACAUAGAACCUGCUCCCCUCUUGGAGCUACCAUCUCUGGGGAUGAUGACUCUUCUUGCUCCUCACUUAAGUUGAAGAAACACUGUGCACUGUGAUCUCCUGUCUGUGACAUUGGGCCAACUGAAGACAGGGUUUUGAAAUCUCAGCUAUAAAGAUAUCCAGCCAAAGUCUCAAUCUUGCCUUAACAAUGUUUCAGAGACUGAAUAAAAUGUUUGUAGGUGAAGUCACUACUUCUUCCAGCCAAGAACCAGAAUUUUGCGAGAAAGAAGAUGAUGAGUGGAUUCUUGUUGACUUCAUAGAUACCUGCACUGGUUUCUCAGCAGAGGAAGAAGAGGAAGAUGAAGACAUUGGUCAAGAGUCCUCAGCAGAGCACACUUCUGUCUUCUCCUGUUUACCUGCGUCUUUGGAAUGCUUGGCUGAGACCAGUGAUUCCUGCUUCCUUCAGUUUGAGUCCUGUCCAAUGGAGGAGAGCUGGUUCAUCACUCCUCCCCCGUGUUUUACAGCAGGUGGACUAACCACUAUCAAAGUGGAAACAAGUCCUAUGGAAAACCUUCUCAUUGAACAUCCCAGCAUGUCUGUCUAUGCUGUGCACAACUCUUGUCCUGGUCUCAGUGAGGCCAGCUGUGCGAAUGAUGAAUAUAACUCAAGUGGUCCCAGGGCCAGAAAAAGCUGCCUAUAAGACUCACGGGCACAGAAAUGGAAGCCCAGAGUGAAAUGGGGAAGCAUAUUCACUGCUGUGUUGCAGCACUUGCUGCUCAAGCAACAUUUUUGGAACAACCCAAGAGUUUUCGCCCUUCCCAGUGGAUAAAAGGACACAGUGAAAGACAGUCUCUGAACAGAAAUGGUCUCCGUCGCCAGAACCUUACCAGGGAUUGCCACACUCGACAAAUGAAGCACAGUGGCUGGGUGGUUCACCAGCCCUGCCCACGCCAGUACAAUUACUGAGAACGUUGAGUUAUGUUGGUUGGUUUCCUUAGGUUCUGUGCAUAUGUAUUGGAUGUAUGUGCGUACAAUGAAAGUGUUAUCUCCUUCCAGCCAACUGAAGACCAAUCACCUAGUGUAUCAGUGUGUUUAGACACUAUCACAACCAGAUUUUUUGUGCUGUGUAUCACAUAAUGCCUUGCUCCUGACAAUUACUUUAAAAAAACCUUUUCAGAAUACUUUUGGAAACAUAUCAAUACAGUGACAGUGUUUGGGGUUGUCUUUAAGUACAUUAAGGUAUAUAUGUAUGAGUUAGCAUCUUAAGGACAUUUCUUACCAAGUGUAAGAAUAGGCAUCUUUUCAAUUUCCUUUAUUUUGUAUUAUUUAAUCCUUUGUGUAAGCAAAAAUUAUUCUCAGGGUCAGCCAUAUACUUUAUUGACUAGUACUUGAUAGUCUUUUCUGUAUAUAAUGAGUACAUUUUUACACUAACACGAGCAUUAACAGGUGAUUUUUGCCAUGGAUAUAAUGGAAUUAAUGGCUGAACUUACUUUUGAAAGAAAACUUGACAUAUUUCUGUAUGUAUGGUUCCCCCCCCCCCAGAUUAGUCACUGCAGUUCAUUGUGGAAUUCAGGUACAUUAACUUUGGUAAACAAUAUAUUCAGUAAUUCUGAUGUGACUCCAUGAUAUGGUACAAAUACUACAGAUGUCGUGGACGAAAGCACCUGUUUCAUAUGCAAAGGGAAAAAAUAGACCCAUGAGAUGAUAUUUGGCAUGUUUGUAGCUAACCCACAGAGCAGUCAGUAUUUGGAGAUGUCUAGAGUCUUAACUGUCAGCUCAUCUGAAAAUGCACAAGCGUGUGCCCAGGCACUCAGUGACUUCAUGCUCAUGUUUGCCACAAGAAACGGAGAGACACAGUAAUAACUCCUCAGACAUGGAGCCUGUCCUCCCAAGGGACUUCUGGUGGCAUCUGUUUUUAGCACCUAAGCGAAGACUGAUGGGUUGGUUUCCACAAGCUUUCAUUUUUUAACCACUUUGGCCUCUGUUUCCCCCACAGCAGGGGAGGAAUAAUACUUACCUCUCUCACAGAGUUGUGAGGAUUAUAUGCUGAUUGGAAGUGGGGCUGUCAGAACAGAACUCUGAAUUUCUAGGGUCUUUCUACUGAACCUAGUUGUGAGAGGCCGUGGCAGUUUCCUGCCAUGAUUAUUCUUCAGGGUUGGUGCUAAUGAGGCUAGAGCACAGGGUUCCACUCAUAUGAACCAGUUAAUGUGGUAUAGAGGAAAGUCCAUUCUCUUACCUCUAUCUGAUCAGCUCUUUUUAAGGGUAGUUUUAGUGGAUUUUGAUGAGCCAUCCACACUUGCAACCAACUUUCUGGAAAAUUAAACCCAUGUAUAGCUUGAAGCACAUUAUUCAAACUGCUCAUUUCCCCAGCUCCUCUGCAACCAUAACUAUUUAUGAAAUAAUUUCAAGGAAAAAAAGCAUACUGUUAUGUGAAGUAUUAUCCCUAAAGCAGCUUGAUGCAGGUAACCCUGGGAGACUUUCAGGAAGGAACAGUGCUCUCCUCUGAUGAGUCUGGACAUUUAGAGCUGCAGUUAGUUAGAUGGGGAAGGGUGUUCUUAACACUGGCUGUGAUUAGAUGCCAGGAUGUCUCCUUAGAACAGGAAUCUAGAUUUCUUCUUCCUUAAGCCUUUUCCAUAUUGACUUCCCCUUUUAUUUAUGUUUUCUAAUUAAGGGGCCAAGUCUGUAGAGUUUGUUAAACUGUUACUAUUUGUUUUCAUGAACGUGUGCAUAUUUUAUGCCACAGCUGUUAUAGGGUCAUACGUGGUAACUUGAAAUAGAUCAGCUAAGUGUCUUCUGGACAGAGGUUCUGAAUACAUGUAGCUUUCCCCCCACUCCCUUACAUCACAUGUAAGCUGUGUCUCACAAGCUGGAGCUCAGCCAUCAGAAUUUGUUUGGCCAGCAUGAAUUGGUUUGUGUAUUAAACUACAUUGUUUUUUUUUUUUUGUUUGUUUGGUUGGUUUUUUUAAAAACAACUUUCCCACCACGUUUAUUUAUCCCUUAAGUACACUUACAUCUCUGUCAGUUACUGACUUUUCAUUUGCUUAGUGUAUGCUUAGUGUUUUGUUCCUGAAAACCAGCAAACAAAUCAGCUACUGGGAUUUUUUUCUUUGGGGUUAAGAUUACCACACCACCUAUAUUAAGUAGGUAGCACACUGUUUUUUUGUGUGUGAGAAUCUAAAGCUUAUGUCUAAAAUUGGCACUUGUAAAAGAAAAAGGUUACAUAACUCAAUUGAAGUUCUUAGUGUUUUGUUAGCCAACUACUGUGUGUUAGAUACAAGUCUAAUAACACAGAACAAUGUUAACCUGUUAAAUAUUUUUUUGAAACAUGGCCAAAAAAUACAUUUUAUGAGUUGAUUACUCAUUAUCAUCAUCACCAUCAUUUUGCUGUAUACCUACCAGUGGUUUACAGUGUUCUUCAAUGCACUGAAAGUACAAGCAGUAAGAAGACCCCAAGAGUUGAGGAUGUAGCUUAGUGGUAGAGGAUUUGCCUAGCAUGUGCAAGGUCCCGAGUUUCAUCCCCAGCACUGUAAGACAAAAACAAAACAAAGAAGCAAGACUCCAGAAUUUAGUAGCACUGACCAUCUCUAAACCAAUAGCCUAGAAUAUUGCUUGCAAAAUCUGGAAUACACGGUCUGCAUCAGCUGUACAUCGAGAGUCUAUCUUUUAGCUUUUAUAGUGGACCCCACAUUCCCCAAAGUUUGUUUUAUGUUUAACAUUUUAGAAUGUGUAUUCUGUUAAUUACUAUUUCCUGGGUUACAUUCAGAACUAUAUAUAGGUACUUAGCUUAUCAUAUUUAUCUUUUGUGACAAUUUGUGUUUGUACGGUUGCAUAGGUGGGGAAUUUUUUGCAGAGAUACAAAAAGAUUGGAUUUUACUUCCCAUUGUAGGAAGUUCAAAACAGAACAUUAACUUCCUGUAUAUUUUUCCAAUUCCCACGCCGAUUGUUCUUGUUUCUUCUUUGGUUUUAGCAAAAAGAGUGUUUACUUAAAACUUGUGAGGGCUCAUAUGCCUGGCUGUCUUUUUUGCUUCUCAAAUCUGUACAGGUUUACAGUCUUCACUUUUGUUAAAGUGGAAUUGCUUUCCUAUUUUGCUCUGUCUUCACAGAGGCAUUUAGUCUCUGUAUACUCUUAAAAGAAGAAAAAGCAAGGGAGGGUAUCUUCUUUAUCCUCAUUUUCUUUGAGUUGGAAACAAAAGUAAGUAUGAAGGACUACAACUAGUAGAUAGACAUUUAAAUAGACUAGUGGAAAAAAGUUUUUACCGUUUUCUUUUUGUUCAGUUAAAAGACUGCUCCUUAUACUGGGAGAUACUAGUGUAUGCUUCAAUUGUUGCCUUGAAAUUAUCUUUUUAUUCUUUAAGGCCUAUAGAUUACUAUUGCCUUUAAAUUCUUUAAAGUUAGGUAGUUUCAUGCCAUCAGCCUCUUAUGUAUUAUAAAUGGCAACCCUACGUUCUUAUUCUGUUAAAAUUGUAUAUGAAUGCCUAUUUUACAAACUUAACAUAUAUGACAGUGUUGUCUACUUUGUCAUAGGCCAGUUUCUCUUGAAAUGUGACACCAAUUCAAGUGGCUUAGGUGCAGAUAAAUACCAAGAAUAGAUGCAGAAAGGCAGGAAUAGGUACAGAGGCAAAAGGAAGUGUCUUUUUUUUCGACUGGCAACAGUAUCCUUUAUGUGGAAGAGAAGUUACUAUUCAGAGAAAGGCAGCUUAAACGGAUGAUGUUCUGUGUAUCAUUGAUAAGUUUCCUUGUGAUAUUGAAAAGUGUUUCUAAUUGUUAAUGCCCAGUUUGAGUUUGUACUUGCCUGAUGUUUUACUAUUGUUUUCUAGAUGGACUUGUAAAAACCAAACAGUGCUUUGUGAGGUUAGAGGUGUGUAUUUGGGGGCCUCAGGUGUGUGUGUGUGUGGUUUUGUUUUCCUCCAGAAGUUUUGAACUUUAGUCAAUAAUUGUGUGUGUUGUUUUUAAGAAGUGGCUUAUUUUUUCUCUAGUAGAAUUGUGAACACAUUUGCCUUCUAAUGGCAGGAUAUGAGCUAUGGAUUCUGAAAAGUAUUGUAGGUUGUACUAUGUGCCUUCUUAAUGUGUUUAUGGGCACAAUAUUUUCUCUCAUCAACUUGAAACUUAAAAGGGACAUUUUAGCUAAAUUAUAUACUGUACAUCAAUCUAUGCAUAAAUGGCAGCUUGUUUUCUUGAGCCACUAUCUGUUUUUUUUAUAUAUAAAUUUUUUAUAUUGAUUGGGUCAGAGAUGGUCAGUUUUAUACAGAAUGAACAGCACAGCACUUUGCCAAAAAAAAAAAAAAAAAAACAAAAAAAAAACCAUGUAGCAUUGCUUAAACAUUGUGUAUUAAUACCAGUUCUUUGUAAUAGGUUCAGUAGUGCACUCCGCACUGUCCAGAGUUACAGUUUUUUAAUCUGUCAGUAAAUAAAAUGUCCUUUAACUUAA
This is a non-coding RNA of Arvicanthis niloticus (Nile rat), 6152 nucleotides long. Lineage: Eukaryota; Metazoa; Chordata; Mammalia; Rodentia; Muridae. The record is from RefSeq and is a predicted model, not a curated record.